This 203-nucleotide unclassified non-coding RNA is filed under the name uncultured fungus. RNAcentral describes it as "partial contains 18S rRNA, ITS1, 5.8S rRNA, ITS2 and 28S rRNA". Lineage: Eukaryota; Fungi. The record is from RNAcentral.
AGGGAUCAUUACACAAUACAAUAUGAAGGCUGUCCGCAGCUGGAGUAUUUUAUUACCCUUGUCUUUUGCGCACUUGUUGUUUCCUGGGCGGGUUCGCUCGCCACCAGGACCACCAAAUAAACCUUUUUUAUGCAGUUGCAAUCAGCGUCAGUACAAACAAUGUAAAUCAUUUACAACUUUCAACAACGGAUCUCUUGGUUCUG